RNAcentral lists this ribosomal RNA (411 nucleotides) under uncultured Devosia sp. RNAcentral's name for it is "bacterial SSU rRNA". It matches the Rfam family "Bacterial small subunit ribosomal RNA", at positions 505 to 923 of the family's 1533-position model. Lineage: Bacteria; Pseudomonadati; Pseudomonadota; Alphaproteobacteria; Hyphomicrobiales; Devosiaceae. The record is from RNAcentral.
GUGCCAGCAGCUGCGGUAAUACGAAGGGGCUAGCGUUGUUCGGAUUUACUGGGCGUAAAGCGCACGUAGGCGGUUUGUUAAGUCAGGGGUGAAAUCCCGGAGCUCAACUCCGGAACUGCCUUUGAUACUGGCAAGCUAGAGUCCGGAAGAGGUGAGUGGAACUCCUAGUGUAGAGGUGGAAUUCGUAGAUAUUAGGAAGAACACCAGUGGCGAAGGCGGCUCACUGGUCCGGUACUGACGCUGAGGUGCGAAAGCGUGGGAGUAAACAGGAUUAGAUACCCUGGUAGUCCACGCCGUAAACUAUGAGAGCUAGCCGUUGGAAGUUUACCUUCAGUGGCGCAGCUAACGCAUUAAGCUCUCCGCUGGGGAUACGGUCGCAAGAUUAAACUCAAAUGAAUUGAACGGGGCCCG